Molecule: long non-coding RNA, 542 nt
Filed under: Equus asinus (donkey)
Lineage: Eukaryota; Metazoa; Chordata; Mammalia; Perissodactyla; Equidae
Description: lncRNA (ENSEASG00005035961.1)
Source: RNAcentral
CUUGGGUCAUGUAGUGACUCUCAAUAGGUGAUGGGGGGUGGGGAAGACAGCUUCGAAAGCCCACCUGGCAAAAAAUCCACACUGGGGGCGAGAGAUAAACCGGCACAUUCCCCAGACUGACCCAUUAGGCUUCUUUCAUAACUUACUGGCAAUGAGCUGAGGAAGCUGUGAGUCUGGGAGUUAUUGAUUUUCUCUCAUCAUCAAAAUUCCUGCUUUUGGUGAGGGAACCAAUGCCAAGUAAGCACAGAACCUGUCUUCUCUCUGGACCAGAGCAGCUCAUGCCCCUUCAGAAAAACAGGCCCAGUGCAGUGGCAGAGUGAGAGCUCAGCGGCAGUGGGCAGAGAACUUCAGCUGCUCUGCUGGGGCAGCAAAUGCGUGGCUGGUGCUGCAGGGGAUUCGCCCACACUCCUAGAAGAUCCUAAGAGGCACAGCCCAGACCAGUCUAAGCCUCCAGGAUUGAACCCCUGGCUCCAGGAGGAAGAUGAAGGCACUCACUGAGCCCUUCUGAGUACAAGAGCCUUACUAGCCACUCUAGCUUCCAG